AGAGAAUCGCUUAAACCCAGAAGGCAGAGGUUGCAGUGAGCCGAGAUCACGCCACUGCACUCCAGCCUAGGUGACAGAG
This 79-nucleotide small nuclear RNA is filed under the name Homo sapiens (human). RNAcentral's name for it is "partial ncRNA". Lineage: Eukaryota; Metazoa; Chordata; Mammalia; Primates; Hominidae. The record is from RNAcentral.